AUCAUCAAAGAGGCACAAUGAAGUUGUAUGACCAGCUCAUUUAUGCUUCUUAAGCAUCAUUUUACCCCAGCACAGAGGGACAAGCCCAAAUCAGCUCAAAACGACAAAAUACUAACAGGGAGCGGCGGUAGGGAUCCAACUUGAAAGAAGAUGGGACCGAGGCAGAGGGAGCACUGAUGCGCCAUGGAGAGACGAGGAAGGCCAUGCUAAGAAAUGGAACCGGCUGAAUUGAAGAACCAGUCAAAACGAGCUUUUUUGGUUCUUCCUCUCUGGAAGGAUGUCGGCUCAGUGUGCGCGGCCAUCCCUGAGGACGCUUGAUGUCAUCUUGUCUACCUGAUCAUUACACUACCUGCUCUCCUCCACAAUGCUGCCCUCUCACUGCUCCGCCACUUGAAAUGCUUGGCUGGCCUCUUCUCUGAAACCAUCAUGAAAUUGUGAGCUAAAACGUCGCAGACUGUUCCUCUCCUCUCUCCUCCCUCCAGCCAUGUGUGCAGGAGCCAGGAAAAAAGAUUCCUGCGUUCGGACGACUGCUUCUCAGUCAAAGGGAAAACACACAAAACAGCCUUCAGCCACCUGUCUGUGUUCACCUCUCAAGUGUGUGAGAUUUUAUACAGUAUGGCUAUAUCCAGGUACACCAAAUGGACUCAUUCUUCGUUGUUUGAAAGGCCGAGACUUACAACAAAAAAGGUUCAGUUACUUUGUUUGCCACUAGAUUUGAGAGAGAUGAUUUUCUGUGCUCUUAUAUCCUUGACACUUUAUAAUAAACUUUACAGAACAAACAAUAAUGUAAUGUUUUCAUACAUUUUUAGAAUAUGAUAGUAUGGAGGAUUAUAACCUUGUGCUUGUGUGUUAUGUUCCAUUAUACAGUUUAAAUAGUGAAAAGAACUAUAUCUUAUACUUCACAAUUUGUAGCUGUUCAGUACUCAGGUGAAAUCAUUGUAUCAGAAAGUGAUUUUUGCUUGUUGCUUUUAAAAGGGGGAGUAGAUUGUUUUACACACAUGUAGCACCAGUAAAGCACAUGAGGUGAGGUUUCUAAAAUGAACAAGGACUGGAUUUCAUUGGACUGCUGUCGUUUCCAAGGUCCAGGUUCUGAGCACGCUGUCUCAUUAUCGCACUGUCAUGACUAUUUUCAAUCUAGUUAUUAACUCCAUGUGCUCUUCCUUUUAAUGUCUGAAGGGAAAUGUAUACGGUCAAUUUGUAGUGUGGAGUUCAAUGUGGGAACUGAGACGUAAGGAUAAUCCAAGGGCACUGAUAGUGCAACUUGUUGACUGACUGUCUUUCCUGGCAAAACAGAAAUAUUUUAUUUUUGAUCAUUUAUGAAAAUACUGAUGGACACUUUCCAGAACUAAACUGUGAGCGACUGUGUCAUCUCAUCUACUCUCUCACACUUGCAGUUACUUAAGUAUGUGUAACCUAAAAUCAUCUGGAUUAUUAUCAAUAUUCUUAUUUUCACGUUUUGAUUGCACAUAAAAAAUGUUUGAAUAUGUACUCUGCAUCUUCUCUGUUCAUGGAAAGCUUCACAGGUUAAGAGUCAGAAAUAAUAACCACUAGCCUGUGACCGAGGUCUCAU
Molecule: non-coding RNA, 1570 nt
Organism: Labrus bergylta (ballan wrasse)
Lineage: Eukaryota; Metazoa; Chordata; Actinopteri; Labriformes; Labridae
Source: RefSeq, a predicted model, not a curated record